AGAAUAGAGGCUAAGGGAUAGCAGUUGGCUUGAAACCAUUGUUAGGAGGUUCGAGUCCUCCCUUUCUUG
This 69-nucleotide transfer RNA is filed under the name Pseudotrapelus sinaitus (Sinai agama). RNAcentral's name for it is "tRNA-Ser". It matches the Rfam family "tRNA". From Rfam's summary of the family: Transfer RNA (tRNA) molecules are approximately 80 nucleotides in length. Their secondary structure includes four short double-helical elements and three loops (D, anti-codon, and T loops). The record is from RNAcentral. Lineage: Eukaryota; Metazoa; Chordata; Lepidosauria; Squamata; Agamidae.